CAUGCAAGUCGGACGGCAGCACGAGUACUUGUACUUGGUGGCGAGUGGCGAACGGGUGAGUAAUAUAUUGGAACGUACCGAGUAAUGGGGGAUAACUAUCCGAAAGGAUAGCUAAUACCGCAUACGCUUUGAGAAGGAAAGCAGGGGAUCUUCGGACCUUGCGUUAUUCGAGCGGCCAAUAACUGAUUAGCUAGUUGGUGGGGUAAGGGCCCACCAAGGCGACGAUCAGUAGUGGGUCUGAGAGGAUGAUCCGCCACACUGGGACUGAGACACGGCCCAGACUCCUACGGGAGGCAGCAGUGGGGAAUUUUGGACAAUGGGCGAAAGCCUGAUCCAGCCAUGCCGCGUGUCUGAAGAAGGCCUUCGGGUUGUAAAGGACUUUUGUUAGGGAAGAAAAGGUUGAUGCUAAUAUCAUUAACUGAUGACGGUACCUAAAGAAUAAGCACCGGCUAA
Molecule: ribosomal RNA, 453 nt
Filed under: Kingella kingae
Lineage: Bacteria; Pseudomonadati; Pseudomonadota; Betaproteobacteria; Neisseriales; Neisseriaceae
Description: bacterial SSU rRNA
Rfam family: Bacterial small subunit ribosomal RNA
Source: RNAcentral